AUUGAACGCUGGCGGCAGGCCUAACACAUGCAAGUCGAGCGGAUGAAGGGAGCUUUCUCCUGGAUUCAGCGGCGCACGGGUGUGUAAAGCCCAUGAAUCCGCCUGGUAGUGGGGGAUAACGCCCGGAAACAGGCGCUAAUAUCGCAUACGUCCUGAGGGAGAAAGAGGGGGAGCUUCGGACCUCACGCUAUCAGAUGAGCCUAGGUCGGAUUAGCUAGUUGGUGGGGUAAAGGCCUACCAAGGCGACGAUCCGUAGCUGGUCUGAGAGGAUGAUCAGUCACACUGGAACUGAGACACGGUCCAGACUCCUACGGGAGGCAGCAGUGGGGAAUAUUGGACAAUGGGCGAAAGCCUGAUCCAGCCAUGCCGCGUGUGUGAAGAAGGUCUUCGGAUUGUAAAGCACUUUAGGUUGGGAGGAAGGGCAGUAAGUUAAUACCUUGCUGUGUUGACGUUACCGGCAGAAUAAGCACCGGCUAACUUCGUG
RNAcentral lists this ribosomal RNA (484 nucleotides) under uncultured bacterium. RNAcentral describes it as "partial 16S ribosomal RNA". It matches the Rfam family "Bacterial small subunit ribosomal RNA", at positions 30 to 507 of the family's 1533-position model. The record is from RNAcentral.